GACGAACGCUGGCGGCGUGCUUAACACAUGCAAGUCGAACGCUGAAGACCUGGCUUUUGUUGGGUUGGAUGAGUGGCGCACGGGUGAGUAACACGUGAGUAACCUGCUCUCUUCUUUGGGAUAACGCCCGGAAACGGGUGCUAAUACUGGAUAUUCACUGAUCUUCGCGUGGGGGUUGGUGGAAAGGUUUGUUCUGGUGGGGGCUGGGCGCGCGGCCUAUCAGCUUGUUGGUGGGGUGAUGGCCUACCAUGGCUUUGACGGGUAGCCGGCCGGGGUGGGUGGCCGGUCAGAGUGAGACGGAGAUACGGCACAGAGUCCCACGGGAGGCAGCAGCGGGGGAUAGUGCACGGUGGGCGAAAGCCUUAUGCAGAGACGCCGUGUGAGGGAGGGAGGCCUGCGGGUUGGAAACCUCUUUCGCACAUGGUCAAGCCGCAACUGUGGGUUGUGGUGAGGGUAGUGGGUAAAGAAGCGCCGGCUAACUACGUG
This 486-nucleotide ribosomal RNA is filed under the name uncultured bacterium. Its description in RNAcentral is "partial 16S ribosomal RNA". It matches the Rfam family "Bacterial small subunit ribosomal RNA", at positions 28 to 507 of the family's 1533-position model. The record is from RNAcentral.